This 379-nucleotide ribosomal RNA is filed under the name Proteus sp. (in: enterobacteria). RNAcentral describes it as "bacterial SSU rRNA". It matches the Rfam family "Bacterial small subunit ribosomal RNA", at positions 356 to 727 of the family's 1533-position model. Lineage: Bacteria; Pseudomonadati; Pseudomonadota; Gammaproteobacteria; Enterobacterales; Morganellaceae. The record is from RNAcentral.
GGGGAAUAUUGCACAAUGGGCGCAAGCCUGAUGCAGCCAUGCCGCGUGUAUGAAGAAGGCCUUAGGGUUGUAAAGUACUUUCAGCGGGGAGGAAGGUGUUAAGAUUAAUACUCUUAGCAAUUGACGUUACCCGCAGAAGAAGCACCGGCUAACUCCGUGCCAGCAGCCGCGGUAAUACGGAGGGUGCAAGCGUUAAUCGGAAUUACUGGGCGUAAAGCGCACGCAGGCGGUCAAUUAAGUCAGAUGUGAAAGCCCCGAGCUUAACUUGGGAAUUGCAUCUGAAACUGGUUGGCUAGAGUCUUGUAGAGGGGGGUAGAAUUCCACGUGUAGCGGUGAAAUGCGUAGAGAUGUGGAGGAAUACCGGUGGCGAAGGCGGCCC